AUGGAGGUCUCUCUAUCACUGCCCUAAAUUAGUGAUUUCUGUUCGCCUCAGUCAGGGUUUAGUUAGUGAGUCGUCUAUGAAAGGGGAAGGUUGUGAUUCAUCUUUGUUGAAGACAUUCAGUUUUGUGUUUGUGUAAUUAUGCGAAGAAAUUUUAGUGCCAAGAGCUUUGGCUCAGCUGUAAUUGAGAUUGCUACCUAAAGGUUAUAGCUUCUGAGUCUCCAUGUAUAGAAAAUCAAGUCCUAUAUCUUUGAUUUCGGAAAAUUUAAGUUAUUUCUCGAUUUGAAGGGGAUUGCUGAAUAUGUUUAUGUUACACUGCAUGUUAGUUUUAGUGUUCUGGUGUCUUGACAAUAUUUAUAGCUUUGUUCCCUCGGAUUUGAGGCCAGCUUGAGUUUGUUCUUGUAGGUUUUUGCAUAAUCUUUUGUGUUAAUGUUGAGAAAAAUUUAACAUAUACUUUCAUGUGUGCUAGUAUUUUCUAGUUUAAUACCAUCAUCUAUGAGCUACAAGAAGACCUAAUUUGAGAGCUUUGUUAUUGUUUUUGCUCUUUUCUUUCUUAUUAUUAGUUAUGCUUCAUUAUCUGGUUUUAGGGUGUUUAGGUUUGAGAGAGAGAGAAAGAGAGAGAGUUUUAUUUUCCUAUAAGAGGGAGAACCUUGAUCGUAUCAAAACCUAAUAAAAUCACAACUCAUAAGGUAAUUUAACCUUUAUUAUAAGUUUAUAAGAGCAUACUAUUCUUUUGUUUUUGAGGGUCAUAUACGUACGUAUCAUUUUCAGUUUAUGAUAGGCAAAUGCUCUGUUAUAUAUAUAGACGAUACUAUGGAUGAUGACGGAUAUGAGCUUUUUUUAAUCAAACUUGUUCUCAUGAGCUCUUCAAUUAAUCAAAAAAAUAUUUUCUAUUCUCAUAAAAUCUAUAUAGAAUAAUCAGUAAGAUUGAAUGAUACCCCAACACAACUAAGUCUUCCUGAAGGAGUAAUUUUUUAGUAUAAGCAGAGAAGUUCAACGUAGCCAAGUUCCCCUACAGUUGAAAUUUCUGUACAUUCUGAUAUUGGUUCAGUCCAAGUUCCCCUAC
RNAcentral lists this long non-coding RNA (1063 nucleotides) under Rosa chinensis. Its description in RNAcentral is "sRNA RchiOBHm_Chr6g0278651". The record is from RNAcentral. Lineage: Eukaryota; Viridiplantae; Streptophyta; Magnoliopsida; Rosales; Rosaceae.